This 460-nucleotide ribosomal RNA is filed under the name uncultured bacterium. RNAcentral describes it as "partial 16S ribosomal RNA". It matches the Rfam family "Bacterial small subunit ribosomal RNA", at positions 338 to 795 of the family's 1533-position model. The record is from RNAcentral.
CCUACGGGAGGCAGCAGUGAGGAAUAUUGGUCAAUGGGCUUACGCCUGAACCAGCCAAGUCGCGUGAGGGAAGACUGCCCUAUGGGUUGUAAACCUCUUUUGUCAGGGAGCAAUUGGCGCUACGUGUAGCGUUAUCGAGAGUACCUGAAGAAAAAGCAUCGGCAAACUCCGUGCCAGCAGCCGCGGUAUUACGGAGGAUGCGAGCGUGAUCCGGAUGUAUUGGGUUUAAGGGGUGCGUAGGCGGAAUGCAAUGUCAGCGGUAAAAUCGCGGGGCUAAACCUAGUUCCGCCGUUGAUACUGGCGUUCUUGAGUGGGAGAGAAGUAUGCGGAAUGCGUGGUGUAGCGGUGAAAUGCAUAGAUAUCACGCAGAACUCCGAUUGCGAAGGCAGCAUACCGGCGCCAAACUGACGCUGAAGCACGAAAGCGUGGGUAUCGAACAGGAUUAGAUACCCUAGUAGUC